ACUGUCUAUCGGCAAAAUAUAUGCAUUUCUCGGCCACGCUCCGGAGCAGUAUCCGCUGCAUUCGGGCGAUUCAAAACCCUUGCGUCAGUAGCCUACAAGGAUCCAAUGUGCUUCUUCAGUUAUAAACAUAAAAGACUACUGUUUUGUAACAACAAUAAUUGGCAACCUAUCUAUGCCUGGAGGGAACAUAUUGUCUUUUUGAUGUUAUUUUUACCUGUCAAGCACCAACCGAUGUCGAUCGACCAGACGUAAACACAGCCUUUGGAAGAUGAUAAAGAAAACCAAAACCACUAGCCAACAAUGCCAUAAAAAUGCGGAGAAAACGCCAAGAGAAAGAACCGGUGGAGCCAUGGCGCAUGAGCCACACCGGCGAGGUCAAACGCUCAGCCAGCGCCCUCUGACGUCCGUGAUGCCUGAUGGACAACCGGACGCGCGGAAACAUUCACUACCUAGCUGCUGUGUUCAUUGGGAUAAUAUGGCGUUUCUUGCAAAGUAGUCUACUCUACAUAACCUACAGCGAAAAACGCAUAUCCUACCCAAGUAGAGGAUAUGGCAGGUGACGAUCCUCCAAAAUAAAUACACUGCAUAAAAGUCCCUUCAUCCUUAUUAUUUUCUUUCAACACCUUAUCGUCUUCUCUUUUGCCUAUCCCACUAUCAACUAACAUCUUGGGUAGGCCUAUUCAUUUAUUAAUCUGUUCGAUGUCAUAACAAUAGCCUACUUAUUCUUAGAA
Alosa sapidissima (American shad) is the source of this 731-nucleotide long non-coding RNA. RefSeq lists it as uncharacterized. The transcript has 3 exons. The record is from RefSeq and is a predicted model, not a curated record. NCBI's taxonomy places the organism in Eukaryota, Metazoa, Chordata, Actinopteri, Clupeiformes, Clupeidae.